GACGAACGCUGGCGGCGUGCUUAACACAUGCAAGUCGAACGGAACGGCCCUGCUUUUGUGGGGUGCUCGAGUGGCGAACGGGUGAGUAACACGUGAGUAACCUGCCCUUGACUUUGGGAUAACUUCAGGAAACUGGGGCUAAUACCGGAUAGGAGCUCCUGCUGCAUGGUGGGGGUUGGAAAGUUUCGGCGGUUGGGGAUGGACUCGCGGCUUAUCAGCUUGUUGGUGGGGUAGUGGCUUACCAAGGCUUUGACGGGUAGCCGGCCUGAGAGGGAGAGCGGCCACAUUGGGACUGAGAUACGGACCAGACUCAUACGGGAGGCAGAGGUGGGGGUGGUUGAACAAGGGGCGGAAGCCUGAGCCAGCAACGCCGCGUGCGGGAUGACGGCCUUCGGGUUGUAAACCGCUUUCGCCUGUGACGAAGCGGGAGUGACGGUAAUGGGUAAAGAAGCACCGGCUAACUACGUG
Molecule: ribosomal RNA, 468 nt
Filed under: uncultured bacterium
Lineage: Bacteria
Description: partial 16S ribosomal RNA
Rfam family: Bacterial small subunit ribosomal RNA
Source: RNAcentral